UCACCUUCAUCUUCAUCUUCAUCUUCAUCUUCAUCUUCCUCUUCCUCUUCAUCUUCCUCAAUGUGUUGGUCUCAACAAAAUGAUAAAUAGAUAGAUCGAUAGAUCCCAACCGUUCUAAGCCAUUUCCAUAACUAGGAGUGGAGCUGGAAACUUCGUGGGAAGGCAGAGUUUCAGAUCUUGAAGGCUCAAUCUAUAUGAAAUAUAAUUCUUGAACUUAUUGGUGUUA
This is a long non-coding RNA of Cucurbita maxima (winter squash), 226 nucleotides long. RefSeq lists it as uncharacterized. Lineage: Eukaryota; Viridiplantae; Streptophyta; Magnoliopsida; Cucurbitales; Cucurbitaceae. The record is from RefSeq and is a predicted model, not a curated record. The transcript has 2 exons.